This 490-nucleotide ribosomal RNA is filed under the name Pseudomonas sp. R2_35. RNAcentral's name for it is "bacterial SSU rRNA". It matches the Rfam family "Bacterial small subunit ribosomal RNA", at positions 15 to 500 of the family's 1533-position model. Lineage: Bacteria; Pseudomonadati; Pseudomonadota; Gammaproteobacteria; Pseudomonadales; Pseudomonadaceae. The record is from RNAcentral.
GAUCCUGGCUCAGAUUGAACGCUGGCGGCAGGCCUAACACAUGCAAGUCGAGCGGUAGAGAGAAGCUUGCUUCUCUUGAGAGCGGCGGACGGGUGAGUAAUGCCUAGGAAUCUGCCUGGUAGUGGGGGAUAACGUUCGGAAACGGACGCUAAUACCGCAUACGUCCUACGGGAGAAAGCAGGGGACCUUCGGGCCUUGCGCUAUCAGAUGAGCCUAGGUCGGAUUAGCUAGUUGGUGGGGUAAUGGCUCACCAAGGCGACGAUCCGUAACUGGUCUGAGAGGAUGAUCAGUCACACUGGAACUGAGACACGGUCCAGACUCCUACGGGAGGCAGCAGUGGGGAAUAUUGGACAAUGGGCGAAANGCCUGAUCCAGCCAUGCCGCGUGUGUGAAGAAGGUCUUCGGAUUGUAAAGCACUUUAAGUUGGGAGGAAGGGUUGUAGAUUAAUACUCUGCAAUUUGACGUUACCGACAGAAUAAGCACCGGCUAA